AGAGGAAAGAAGAGGAAAGGAAAGUAUGGAAAGUAGGAUGAAGAAGAAAUCCUAAAAUUGAGUCUUCCACUAGCCAAACCUAGAGAGGAAGAAAUGAGAAGCCUUUCACUGUUUCCGCUACUAAAGCUGCUGGUGAUCCAUAGAGUCAAAGGGACAAGGAUUAAUGCUUGGGAUGCCACAACUCCAACAGUUUAACAGUACUAUGAGAAGUCUGAAGACUUCUGCAGACUUAAACCAUACAAUGAAAGACAGGAAUCUGCAGUACGCUUUGACUAUCUAAGUGUCACAGACAGAACGCUACUGCCAUCUUAAGGGGAAGAAGCAAAAAUAGUUAUCUAUUCCAAGUUGAUUCGAAAAGUGGAUAUAUCGUAAAAUGGACCAAUUCACCUUCCAUCCACCUCACCCACCAAAUACCACUUCACUCCUUAUGUCACCAAGGGAUCUGUGCUGAAAUUGCUACGUCGAGGAAAACAUUUAGUGCAUUUGGUGUUCCUGGACUGCCUGGAUAAUCCUCAAAAUGACAAAUCGCUAUCUCCGUGAUUAAUUUUCUCUCUUGUCAAGGCUGGGAAGAUGAGAGAUUUGGGGGACAUCGUGCAAGAUGUCAAGGAAAUGCCAGCUGUCUCUAUUACAUCUCUGCGUUAACAACAGUGCAAGAUUAAUGAUUCGUGUGCAGCGCUUGUUUUUGUAACUUUCACAAAUCUGAAUUCCUCGGCAGAUAAAGUAAUAGGAUCUGUCAG
Pantherophis guttatus is the source of this 737-nucleotide long non-coding RNA. RefSeq lists it as uncharacterized. The record is from RefSeq and is a predicted model, not a curated record. NCBI's taxonomy places the organism in Eukaryota, Metazoa, Chordata, Lepidosauria, Squamata, Colubridae.